This 71-nucleotide transfer RNA is filed under the name Bos taurus (domestic cattle). It matches the Rfam family "tRNA". From Rfam's summary of the family: Transfer RNA (tRNA) molecules are approximately 80 nucleotides in length. Their secondary structure includes four short double-helical elements and three loops (D, anti-codon, and T loops). Further hydrogen bonds mediate the characteristic L-shaped molecular structure. tRNAs have two regions of fundamental functional importance: the anti-codon, which is responsible for specific mRNA codon recognition, and the 3' end, to which the tRNAs corresponding amino acid is attached (by aminoacyl-tRNA synthetases). tRNAs cope with the degeneracy of the genetic code in two manners: having more than one tRNA (with a specific anti-codon) for a particular amino acid; and 'wobble' base-pairing, i.e. permitting non-standard base-pairing at the 3rd anti-codon position. The record is from Rfam by way of RNAcentral. Lineage: Eukaryota; Metazoa; Chordata; Mammalia; Artiodactyla; Bovidae. RNAcentral also lists the same sequence under 1 other name.
CCCUGGUAGUUCAGCUGGUAAGGAAUCUGCCUGCAAUGUAGGAGAUCCUGGUUUGAUUCCUGGAUCAGGAA